CAUUAUUGAAUUGUCAACACGAGCUGUUGCUGGCCUUCAAACGGGGGCAUGUGCACGCUCUGUUUUCAUCCACUCACACCUGUGCACCCUCUGUAGUUCUAUGGUUUGGGAGACCCCGUCUUCCUUCUGUGGUUCUGCGUCUUUACACACACACUGUAACAUGGUCUUAUGGAAUGUAAGCAGCGUUUAACGCAAUACAAUACAACUUUCAGCAACGGAUCUCUUGGCUCUCGCAUCGAUGAAGAACGCAGCGAAAUGCGAUAAGUAAUGUGAAUUGCAGAAUUCAGUGAAUCAUCGAAUCUUUGAACGCACCUUGCGCCCUUUGGCUAUUCCGAAGGGCAUGCCUGUUUGAGUAUCGUGAACACCUCAACUCUCACGGUUCGCCGUGAUGAGCUUGGACUUUGGAGGUUUUGCUGGCCCAAGGUCUGCUCCUCUCAAAUGAAUUAGCUUACCAGUGUAUGGUGGCGCCACAGGUGUGAUAAUUAUCUGCGCUUGYGGUAAUACGCCAGAUAACCUUCAGAGAUGGAGGUUUGCUGGGGCUCAUAAAURUCUCUCCUCAGCGAAGACAGCUUUCUGAACGUUUGAUCUCAAAUCAGGUAGGACUACCCGCUGAACUUAAGCAUAUCAAUAAGCGGAGGAAAAGAAACUAACAAGGAUUCCCCUAGUAACUGCGAGUGAAGCGGGAAGAGCUCAAAUUUAAAAUCUGGCGUGCCUCUGGUCGUCCGAGUUGUAGUCUGGAGAAGCGUUUUCCGUGUUGGACCGUGUACAAGUCCCUUGGAACAGGGCGUCAUAGAGGGUGAGA
This 802-nucleotide ribosomal RNA is filed under the name uncultured fungus. RNAcentral's name for it is "eukaryotic LSU rRNA". The record is from RNAcentral. Lineage: Eukaryota; Fungi.